CGCUCGCAUCAGGCACAGCCCCUGGGUCGCAGCCAUCGCGCGGCACUAUGGAGAUGCUGUCCGCACCUCCCAGGUGAGGAAGCCCGCAGCCUGGAGCGGCCCCACGGCGCACAGGCCCCGGCCGCCCCACGAAGGCACGUCCCGCGAGCAGGGCUGGGACCCCGCCCUCCACUCCCCCGAAAGCGCCGGUGCCACCUCCGCUCAGGCUCCCGCCCACGGGGCAGAGGCAGGGCUGCAGCCGGGUAGGCAUCGGGCCCGGGCGCUCACCGUCGCACAGGAAGCCGGCCAGCCCCCAGAUGAAGUCGGAGCAGAGGUGGCAGAAGGAGCUGCGCUCUGGGACAGACAGCACCCUGAAGAAUGAGGGCUGCCUGGGGGCAGCAGGAAGGCGUCCAGGCGGAAAGCCGGAGCAGAGGCCCUGUGGCAGGGUGCUCCGCAGAAAUCCUUUCCUGAUGCCCACCUAUGCUGGGAGGCCCGGAGUCACCACCCCUGCAUUCCCUGUCUCCUGUGCCAGACCCCACCCCGAGCCUGCCCUCAGCCAGGCCCCAAGACCCCCUGUGCCUGGGCCCUGGGAGAGCUAGGACCCAGCCUUGUGGCCCAUGAGGAGGAGGUGGCUCACUGAGCCCGUGGUGCUCAUGGCAGUGAACCACGGUGCAAACUGCAGCUGGCUUCUGAGGAAAAACUGUUUAAGGACAUACCUUUCUCCAUUUAGGAGACAGUGGAGAGCAUCAAAAACAUCUUAAAAAGGAAAACCCUCAUCUACCAUUUCUGCCAGAACUUUCUGCUUUCUGACGCACACGUUAAUUAAAAUGGCGGGCAAAGCAUCCUUCCAGCAAACACUCCACGGACUUCCUAGAACGUCCUCCAAAGCCACCAGCAGCUUCUCGCUGAAGGGGCCUUAAAACUUUGAAUCCGCUCUCCCUCUCCCUCUCCCUCUCCCUCUCCCUCCACGGUCUCCUUCCACGGUCUCCCUCUGAUGCCGAGCCAAAGCUGGACGGUACUGCCGCCAUCUCGGCUCACUGCAACCUCCCUGCCUGAUUCUCCUGCCUCAGCCUGCCGAGUGCCUGCCAUUGCAGGUGCGCGCCGCCACGCCUGACUGGUUUUCGUGUUUUUUUUGGUGGAGAUGGGGUUUUGCUGUGUUGGCCGGGCUGGUCUCCAGCUCCUAACCGCGAGUGAUCCGCCAGCCUCGGCCUCCCGAGGUGCCGGGAUUGCAGACGGAGUCUCGUUCACUCAGUGCUCAAUGGUGCCCAGGCUGGAGUGAAGUGGCGUGAUCUCGGCUCGCUACAACCUCCACCUCCCAGCCGCCUGCCUUGGCCUCCCAAAGUGCCGAGAUUGCAGCCUCUGCCCAGCCGCCACCCCGUCUGGGAAGUGAGGAGCGUCUCUGCCUGGCCCCCCAUCGUCUGGGAUAUGAGGAGCCCCUGUGCCUGGCUGCCCAGUCUGGAAAGUGAGGAGCGUCUCUGCCCGGCCGCCAUCCCAUCUAGGAAGCGAGGAGCGCCUCUUCCCCGCCGCCUUCCCAUCUAGGAAGUGAGGAGCGUCUCUGCCCGGCCGCCCAUCGUCUGAGAUGUGGGGAGCACCUCUGCCCCGCCGCCCUGUCUGGGAUGUGAGGAGCACCUCUGUUGGCCACAACCCUGUCUGGGAGGUGAGGAGC
RNAcentral lists this long non-coding RNA (1645 nucleotides) under Homo sapiens (human). RNAcentral's name for it is "HSALNT0067865". The record is from RNAcentral. Lineage: Eukaryota; Metazoa; Chordata; Mammalia; Primates; Hominidae.